GCGUCUGUUUCAAAAUAUUAAUGCCUUUUUGUGCUGUGAGCAAACCCUCAGCCCAAGAAACAGUUAACUUUGUGAAAACAUAUGGUCAUCAUGCCUGAAAAAGAUAAGUUGCUGAAGGAAAAUGUUGGAGAUGGUCCUGGAAGCCGAUCCAGUUCCAAUGGAAGCAGCUCUCCAAAAGUGCUGGACAUUCCUUUGCUGGUCCAGCAGGCCCGGGAGGCGUACAAUGACGGCGUCACCCGAGAUCUCGAGUUCCGCAAGCGCAACCUGCGCGGCCUGCUCAAAUUCUACGAGGAGAACCGCCAGCAGCUGGUGGACGUGCUUCACAAGGACCUUCGGAAGCACGCCUUUGAGGCCAUGAUCACCGAAGUCAACUACCUCAUCAACGACGUGAAGACCAUGCUGAAUAAUCUGGACGAGUGGUCAAAACCUAAGGCAGUCCAGAAGAGCCUGGCCACGAUGCUGGACCGGCCGUAUGUGCUGCCGGAGCCCCACGGUGUGGUUCUGGUGAUGGGCGCCUGGAACUACCCCCUCCAGCUGAGUCUGGUUCCUGUCAGCGGCGCCAUCGCUGCCGGCAACUGCGUGGUCAUCAAGCCGUCGGACCUGUCCCCGGCCACGUCUGCCUUCAUCGCCGACACUCUGCCGCGGUAUGUGGACAGCCGCUGCUUCCCGGUGGUCUGCGGAGGAAUUCCGGAGAGCACGCAGCUGCUGGAGCAGCAGUUUGACUACAUCUUCUACACGGGCAGCAGCGCAGUGGGCAAGAUCGUCCGCGAGGCCUCCAACAAGCACCUGACGCCUGUCACGCUCGAGCUCGGCGGGAAGAGCCCUGUCUGGCUGGACGAGACUGUCAACAUGGACUACGCGGUGCGUCGGAUCCUCUGGGGCAAGGUGAUCAACCUGGGCCAGACGUGCAUCGCGCCCGAUUACCUGCUCUGCACCAAGGCGACCGAGGCGCGCUUCCUGGCCAUGGCCAAACAGGUGCUGAAGGAGUGGUUCGGGGACAAGCCAGAGGAGGCGGCAGAACUGGGGCGCAUUGUCAACCAGCGACACUUCGAACGCGUGAAGAAGCUGCUCGAGUCGUCUGGUAAGGUGGCGCUGGGCGGCCGGUCCAACGCCAAGGACCUGUUCAUCGAGCCCACCGUGCUGACGGACGUCAAGCCAGACGACUCUGUGAUGCAGGAGGAGAUCUUCGGCCCUGUGCUGCCCAUCGUUACCGUCCAGUCGGCCGCCGAGGCCAUCCACUUCAUCAACAGCCGAGACAAGCCCCUAGCGUUCUACAUUUUCACCAAGGACAAGUCGACAGAGACGCUGCUCCUCAAAAACACUACCGCCGGCGGUGUGACUGUCAACGAUACUCUGUUCCACAUCGGAGAGAACGGCCGCUGGCGGCCUACAUUUUCACAUCGGACGCGGACACGCACCAGAGGAUGCUUUCCGAAACCUCAUCCGGAGGCAUUGUUUUCAACGAGACGCUGAUGCACUACGGAGUUGAGGAGCUGCCGUUCGGUGGCGUCGGGAUGAGCGGCAUGGGCGCCUACCACGGCAAGUUCUCGUUCGACACGUUCACACACUACAAGCCGGUGCUGGAGCGCGGCUUCAACCCCCUCGUCGAGAAACUCUGCUCGGUGCGCUACCCGCCGUACACGCCGCAGAAGAUGGAGCGUGCCAAGAACCUGCUGAAGAACCCCAAGCUGCCCAGCCUGACGCCCCUCAAGUACCUGUUUACCUUCGGAGUGGGCGUGGCUUCCGUGUUCGCCCUCAAAGCCGCCGCCAAGAGGUUCGGGUUCGACGACGACCUGCCGUACGUUCUGCAGUGAGACGGGUCCAACGGGCUUCUUCGCCACCCCCGCCUCCACUCCACUGGCGGAUCGCGCGACCGCCCGGGGCGGGACCAGUGGAGCCGCCGGGGCCGGGCCAGGGCAGCGCGCAGUCUGGGACAGCUGGCGUGGGCUGAGACUGGCUAAUGUAGCGGUCCCGCUGCUUUUGAGCGGUGCUGAGGCCGAGUCAGUGCCGUCUCACCGCGAUGUGGCUAGAAUGCUCUUCUGGGCGUGUGUCCAUAAAGAUGAAAACACCUGGUCUCGCCCUGGUCUCGUGGCGCGGGAUAUUUCGACCAAGAUCACCGGUUCUGCUAGAUUUUAGUCAGUUAUUUUAAUGUAACUUGUUCUACCUACGGUGUAAAUAGGUAUCACUUUAGAGCGUAUAGCAUAUAUGGAUGCAAGAUGUGAUCUUCAGGCGGUGGGAAUCGAGGUUGCGACGACAUUUGUUUUGAAUGUGCUGUGUAAGUGGAGCGUUUGCUGAGUUACAUUUCUACAGACGUCAUUGCUUUGAUUUGCUGCGAUCACUUUUAGAGAGAUUUAUCUAUGUCCAAAGAUUAUCACUAAAAAAACUGGUGGUGAUAAAUAGACUAUAGGUACUGAUGCCAUACAGUGUCAUAGAUACGUGUUAUACUGAGCGUAACUUUUCCCAAUCUUUCACUGGCACGCGUCGUACUCUGAACGCCCUCGCCCCUUCCCAACACCAGCCUAGACAGUAGUGCAAUUCCUGAAUUCACCGACUCCAUAAGUUCAGUUGAACUUAGUUGUCUUAUUGCAUGUGAUUGGUCAAGCGAUUUUAGUUCAAAGCCUUCGUUGUUGAUUGCUUUGUGCAUCGUGAAAUGAAAUAAAUCGAUGUUUUCAGCGUUCA
RNAcentral lists this unclassified non-coding RNA (2679 nucleotides) under Amphibalanus amphitrite. Its description in RNAcentral is "aldehyde dehydrogenase family 3 member B1-like, transcript variant X7". The record is from RNAcentral. Lineage: Eukaryota; Metazoa; Arthropoda; Thecostraca; Balanomorpha; Balanidae.